UCGCCCUUGAGUUUGAUCAUGGCUCAGAUUGAACGCUGGCGGCAGGCCUAACACAUGCAAGUCGAACGGUAGCACAGAGAGCUUGCUCUCGGGUGACGAGUGGCGGACGGGUGAGUAAUGUCUGGGAAACUGCCUGAUGGAGGGGGAUAACUACUGGAAACGGUAGCUAAUACCGCAUAACGUCGCAAGACCAAAGAGGGGGACCUUCGGGCCUCUUGCCAUCAGAUGUGCCCAGAUGGGAUUAGCUAGUAGGUGGGGUAACGGCUCACCUAGGCGACGAUCCCUAGCUGGUCUGAGAGGAUGACCAGCCACACUGGAACUGAGACACGGUCCAGACUCCUACGGGAGGCAGCAGUGGGGAAUAUUGCACAAUGGGCGCAAGCCUGAUGCAGCCAUGCCGCGUGUAUGAAGAAGGCCUUCGGGUUGUAAAGUACUUUCAGCGGGGAGGAAGGUGUUGUGGUUAAUAACCGCAGCAAUGAC
This 480-nucleotide ribosomal RNA is filed under the name uncultured bacterium. RNAcentral's name for it is "bacterial SSU rRNA". It matches the Rfam family "Bacterial small subunit ribosomal RNA", at positions 1 to 473 of the family's 1533-position model. The record is from RNAcentral.